CGCGCCUGCGCCCCGCGCCCGCGGCGGCCGAGCCGGGGCAGCUGCUGAGCGCCGCGGCGGCGGCGGAGACAAAGCGCCGGGUAAUGAAUGGGACGGGCCCGCCCGGCCCUUCCUCUUAACUCCUUCGGGCCCGGCCGGGCGGCGGCAGCGGCGACCUCCGGUUUCCCCCGCGGCGGCCGCCCGGGGAGAUACAAUCAUCUCAUUAAGUUUGAGUAGCAAGUAUUUAACCUCAAAUGAAGCCGCCUGCCUGCCUUGGAACAGAUGUCUUCUGACUAUAGAUGUUUUUGGAAGCCUGGGAUUCCUGAGUAAGAUGCCGUAGAGAAAGAAUUGUUCAUAUGAAGAUAUGCAUUUUUAUAUGGAG
Molecule: long non-coding RNA, 361 nt
Filed under: Chloebia gouldiae (Gouldian finch)
Lineage: Eukaryota; Metazoa; Chordata; Aves; Passeriformes; Passeridae
Description: Erythrura gouldiae (Gouldian finch) lncRNA (ENSEGOG00005003579.1)
Source: RNAcentral